UACGUAGGCAGCAAGCGUUGUUCGGAGUUACUGGGCGUAAAGAGUGCGUAGGCGGUUCUCUAAGUUCGGUGUGAAAUCUCCCGGCUCAACUGGGAGGGUGCGCCGAAGACUGGAGAGCUUGAGUGUGGGAGAGGAAAGCGGAAUUCCUGGUGUAGCGGUGAAAUGCGUAGAUAUCAGGAGGAACACCUGCGGUGUAGACGGCUUUCUAGACCGCAACUGACGCUGAGGCACGAAAGCGUGGGUAGCAAACAGG
This 253-nucleotide ribosomal RNA is filed under the name uncultured bacterium. Its description in RNAcentral is "partial 16S ribosomal RNA". It matches the Rfam family "Bacterial small subunit ribosomal RNA", at positions 524 to 776 of the family's 1533-position model. The record is from RNAcentral.